CCAGCUGUUGCUGAGGGAAAGAAGGUCCCGCAUGCCUGCGACUUAGGGCUCAUACAUAUGGAGCGGCGGAGAUUACAGCAUAAAUUUGAAUGUUAUGAAUGUGCAUGAGCGACAGGCAGGAAGCUCACCUCGCCAAGGCAGGAAAGGCGCUGCUUCCCGGGUUGUGUACAGGAAGCUUUUGUCCCCUGGAUCCUCAACUGUGCCCACUCUGUACCCAAUUGUGUCCCACAGAGAAGAAAGACAGCAGGGAAAGCUUGCCCUUGCCCAGCGGAAGAGACAGGCUGGACCAGGACAGCCAGUCUGCAAGGCAGCGACUACAAAUGCACGGCCAGAGGUUCCUGGAAGACCACGUGGAGGAAGAGGCCACAGCUGCCAACAGAGGGGGCCAGCGCCUCAGUGUGACAACACCAGGGUGGGCCUUCCAGCUUGGAAGCACAAGUCCACGCCACUCCUGGGAGUGUGUCUGUGUAACAGGGCCCAGGCCCCUCUGCUGGUUUCCAACCUGCAGUGCUCUCUGAGCAGACUCUGUGAUUUGCGGUGCAGGCCACCCAGGGACUUUAAUCUUCACCGUGACAAAU
RNAcentral lists this long non-coding RNA (578 nucleotides) under Heterocephalus glaber (naked mole-rat). RNAcentral describes it as "lncRNA (ENSHGLG00000027819.2)". Lineage: Eukaryota; Metazoa; Chordata; Mammalia; Rodentia; Bathyergidae. The record is from RNAcentral.